AUUGAACGCUGGCGGAAUGCUUUACACAUGCAAGUCGAACGGCAGCACGGGGCAACCUGGUGGCGAGUGGCGAACGGGUGAGUAAUACAUCGGAACGUGCCCAAUCGUGGGGGAUAACGUAGCGAAAGUUACGCUAAUACCGCAUACGAUCUACGGAUGAAAGCGGGGGAUCGCAAGACCUCGCGCGAAUGGAGCGGCCGAUGUCAGAUUAGGUAGUUGGUGGGGUAAAGGCUCACCAAGCCAACGAUCUGUAGCUGGUCUGAGAGGACGACCAGCCACACUGGAACUGAGACACGGUCCAGACUCCUACGGGAGGCAGCAGUGGGGAAUUUUGGACAAUGGGCGCAAGCCUGAUCCAGCCAUUCCGCGUGCAGGAUGAAGGCCUCGGUU
This 390-nucleotide ribosomal RNA is filed under the name uncultured bacterium. RNAcentral describes it as "bacterial SSU rRNA". It matches the Rfam family "Bacterial small subunit ribosomal RNA", at positions 30 to 424 of the family's 1533-position model. The record is from RNAcentral.